Long non-coding RNA from Acipenser ruthenus (sterlet), 1557 nucleotides. RefSeq lists it as uncharacterized. The transcript has 3 exons. NCBI's taxonomy places the organism in Eukaryota, Metazoa, Chordata, Actinopteri, Acipenseriformes, Acipenseridae. The record is from RefSeq and is a predicted model, not a curated record.
GAACAGCCAAGACAAAAGCGAUCCAUUGUGCCUGCAAUGUGUUUCAUUAUUCUGGAGAACUAUUAACUACAACUGAAUCUUCAAGCAAAGAUAUCACGAUUUUCGCUGACCUCUGACCCACGUCGGAGGCCGCUCCUCAAUUGAGGACGGCCCUGCUGGACCAAAAAGAUUCCUGAUAAUAACUGAUCGAAUGCACUCGCAUCCUACAGAGGGUUCUCAUAAUUCCAUAAUGAAUACUGGGUACCUGAAAGGUACAAAUAUUUAAAUCCAAUUAUAGCCAAGUGCAAUUCAAAGCAUCUAUAGGAGUGUACGGUGCAAGUCUGGGGAAGAUCGAUGCAAAAUCAAGGCGGGUAUCGUGUUCACCAUGUAGAGUGUGACAGACGGACGGACGGGCGGACAAACAGACGGACAGACGGAAGGAUCAUCGUUUUUGAAUGACAAAAUAAAAAUUUAAACCCUAAUAAUAGUGUCCGGUAAAACUGAACUUGAUUUUGCAACUUUAUAAUCAGCUGAUGAUGUUAAUGAUUGUAUUAUAUAUUAAUACAAACAUUUGAAUUCCUACUUAGCAUUGGAACAGUUGCAAUGGCUCAAUAACAACACUCCACUGAAAUAAGAUGCUCAGUAUUGAUUGUGUGCAGGCAGUAGGUUUCUGCUGCUCUUUUGUUCAGGAUGACCCCAACCACAGAUAAUGCAUAAACACUGACUCACUGAAAUGUACGCUUGCGGGAAUUGAUUGAUGUAUGGUGUAAUUAUGCGGGUGAUUAGUUGCUUGUGAAAACAACGUGACAGAGCUUUUAAUAAAUGAUCCCAAAUAGAAUGAACUCCUGCAAAAUAGAUUGUAUUUUGAGACACAGCAAAUGUGCAUACUAUUAAUGGUUCCCAUGAUCAGAGCAGUAUCUUGGGGUGUUAAUAGUAGAGUGUCAAUGUAAAUUUGCUUCAAUGUUAAACUGUUGGGAAAGUCAAAUAUAGAGUUGUGGCAGGGCAGAGGAAAAGCCCUGCACAUGAAUAGAAGGGGACAGGGCAAAGCCUGCCUGUAAAUAAAUGUAUUGUAAAUAUUGUAUUGCUUGGGUUAUUGGAAAUGGGUGUAUGUAUUUUGUCUUUAUUUAAAAGCAAUGUAUUAUGAUUUAAAAGAGUGGUUUGGGUGUUUUAGUAUGAUUUAAGAAUGUAUUGUUUUGUGUUUAAAAAUAUGAUAUUUUGUGUUUGUUAUUGUGUAUGGCAGCGUGGAUGGGAGUAGAAACCCCUCCACUAAAACUCGUGCAGAAGGUGACCAUCUCCCGAUUUAAUUAAUUGUUUAAUUUGUUGCUAAGCAGGAGACGGUCACCAAUAUAAAAGCCUGCAGUGCCCUGUGUUCCAAAGAGGAGGAACGUGUGUGCGAGAGCGGAGGAUUAAAAGAAGAACUCAAAAGUAAAAGUAAACAGUUACUACGCCUGCUGGAAGCACCAGCACAGUAUUUAUUUGGAUUUUGUGUUUGAGAUUUGGUUUUGUUUCAGCCUUUUAUUUUGCUCUGUGAGCAGUGUUUUUGUUAAACUAUUUUAUUUAUUUUUGUUUAAAUAAACA